This 468-nucleotide ribosomal RNA is filed under the name uncultured bacterium. Its description in RNAcentral is "partial 16S ribosomal RNA". It matches the Rfam family "Bacterial small subunit ribosomal RNA", at positions 28 to 507 of the family's 1533-position model. The record is from RNAcentral.
GACGAACGCUGGCGGCGUGCUUAACACAUGCAAGUCGAACGGAAAGGCCCUGCUUUUGUGGGGUGCUCGAGUGGCGAACGGGUGAGUAACACGUGAGUAACCUGCCCUUGACUUUGGGAUAACUUCAGGAAACUGGGGCUAAUACCGGAUAGGAGCUCCUGCUGCAUGGUGGGGGUUGGAAAGUUUCGGCGGUUGGGGAUGGACUCGCGGCUUAUCAGCUUGUUGGUGGGGUAGUGGCUUACCAAGGCUUUGACGGGUAGCCGGCCUGAGAGGGUGACCGGGCACCUUGGGACUGAGAUACGGCCCAGACUCCUGCGGGAGGCAGCAGUGGGGAAUAUUGCACAAUGGGCGGAAGCCUGAUGCAGCAACGCCGCGUGCGGGAUGACGGCCUUCGGGUUGUAAACCGCUUUCGCCUGUGACGAAGCGUGAGUGACGGUAAUGGGUAAAGAAGCACCGGCUAACUACGUG